This 667-nucleotide ribosomal RNA is filed under the name Vairimorpha apis. RNAcentral's name for it is "LSU rRNA". The stretch from base 78 to 667 matches the Rfam family "Eukaryotic large subunit ribosomal RNA", at positions 1 to 971 of the family's 3401-position model. Lineage: Eukaryota; Fungi; Microsporidia; Nosematidae. The record is from RNAcentral.
UUUGCCCACACAUGGGAUCAAUAGGGUACCAUAACGAGGAAGGGAAGAUCGUAGCGGAAUACGAAAGAUUAUUGAUCGAAUAUAUUAAUAUAAUAGAUUACCCUUUGAACUUAAGCAUAUCAUUAAAAGGAGGAGAAGAAACUAACUAGGAUUUCUUUAGUAGCAGCGAGUGAACAAGAAACAACCCUUGAUUGUAAUCCUUAUGGAGCUGUAAAUCAUAUAUUUUAUUUCUUAUUUCGUAGAGGAUGUAUAUCCGUUAUAAAUGAGAUAUAUAAAAGUAAUUGAGUAGGGCUGCUUGGUAGUGCAGUUUGAAUAUAGGUAGAAUGAGAUAUCUAAGGUUAAAUAUAAUGGUACACCGAUAGCAAAUAAGUACUGCGAAGGAACUUGUGAAAAUGUGUGGGUUAUAGCCUUAUUUUUAAGGACCCGUCUUGAAACACGGACCAAGGAGAUUAUAAUUAUAGCGAGAUAACAAUGUAGUCGUUAUUAGCUUGAUAAGUUAUGAUUAUAAGACCCGAAACACAGUGAACUAUACAUGUUCUGGUUGAAGAUAAGCAACAGUUUAUUGGAAGACCAUAAUCAUUCUGACGUGCAAAUCGAUGAUUUAAGAUGUGUAUAGUGGCGAAAGACCAAUCGAACUGUGUGGUAGCUGGUUCACAGCGAAAUGUCU